CUGCAAAUUGAGCACGGUGGUCCCGGCAUCUGCGUCUGAGUCGCUGCUAUUGCCAUCUAUCACGGAGCAAAAGACAAGAGUUGGGGUCUUGAUCUGUCACUCAGGCUGGAAUGCAGUGGCACUCAUAACUCACUGCAGCCUCCAACUCCUGGGCUCAAGCAACUUUCCCACCUCAGCCUUCCAAGUUGUUAUUACAGCCCACAGCAGCAGAACUCCCAGGGGACCCCAAGGCUUCAGCCAUGGUGUCCAGGAGGAUAGUAGGACCCUGAAGAGGGAUGGAGAGAAGCAGAAGGAGAGAAGAUGCCCAGCAUGGGACCUGCUGAGCCCAGUGUCAAGAUGCAGCCUCCAGUUACAGCACAAAACCAGAAGGCAUCCUGUUAGCCAAAGGUAAGUAAAUAUUUUGCUACAUAAAUUAUUCUUACUCGCUGA
This is a long non-coding RNA of Homo sapiens (human), 429 nucleotides long. RefSeq lists it as uncharacterized. The transcript is spliced from 3 exons. The record is from RefSeq and is a predicted model, not a curated record. NCBI's taxonomy places the organism in Eukaryota, Metazoa, Chordata, Mammalia, Primates, Hominidae.